Molecule: ribosomal RNA, 462 nt
Filed under: uncultured bacterium
Lineage: Bacteria
Description: partial 16S ribosomal RNA
Rfam family: Bacterial small subunit ribosomal RNA
Source: RNAcentral
AGUGAACGCUGGCGGCGUGCCUAAUACAUGCAAGUCGAACGGAGAUUAAGUAGCUUGCUAUUUAAUCUUAGUGGCGCACGGGUGAGUAAUAUAUAGCUAACUUGCCCAUUACUAAGGGACAACAGUUGGAAACGACUGCUAAUACCUUAUACUCCGUAUCUAUAUAAGUAGAUACGGGAAAGUUUUUCGGUAAUGGAUAGGGCUAUAUCGUAUCAGCUAGUUGGUAAGGUAAUGGCUUACCAAGGCUAUGACGCGUAACUGGUCUGAGAGGAUGAUCAGUCACACUGGAACUGAGACACGGUCCAGACUCCUACGGGAGGCAGCAGUAGGGAAUAUUGCUCAAUGGGGGAAACCCUGAAGCAGCAACGCCGCGUGGAGGAUGACACUUGUCGGAGCGUAAACUCCUUUUCUUGGGAAAGAAUUAUGACGGUACCCAAGGAAUAAGCACCGGCUAACUCCGUG